AUAUUAAUAAGCGGAGGAAAAGAAACUAACAAGGAUUCCCUCAGUAACGGCGAGUGAAGUGGGAAAAGCUCAAAUUUGGAAUCUCCAAGGGAAACUUUGGCGAAUUGUAGACUAGAGAAACGAUUGCUGGACUUAAACAUAGCCUAAGUUUGUUGGAAAACAACAUCAAAGAGGGUGAAAGUCCCGUUUAGGUUAUGAGUUGGGUUCUCUACGGGUCGUUUUCAAAGAGUCGGGUUGUUUGGGAAUGCAGCCCAAAACGGGUGGUAAAUUUCAUCUAAGGCUAAAUAUUGACACGAGAUCGAUAGCGCACAAGUA
Molecule: ribosomal RNA, 315 nt
Filed under: uncultured eukaryote
Lineage: Eukaryota
Description: partial large subunit ribosomal RNA
Rfam family: Eukaryotic large subunit ribosomal RNA
Source: RNAcentral